RNAcentral lists this microRNA precursor (169 nucleotides) under Oryza glumipatula. RNAcentral describes it as "MIR812 microRNA precursor family". It matches the Rfam family "MIR812 microRNA precursor family", at positions 27 to 193 of the family's 205-position model. The record is from Rfam by way of RNAcentral. Lineage: Eukaryota; Viridiplantae; Streptophyta; Magnoliopsida; Poales; Poaceae.
ACAAACCCUGAGUUUUCAUGUUGCAUGAAUUUUUUUUUAUAAUUAGUAUUUUCAUUGUUGUUAGAUAAUAAAACAUGAUUAAUAUUUUAUACGUGACUUAUCUUUUUAAUUUUUUUCAUAAUUUAUUCAAAUAAGACGGACGGUCAAACGUUGGAUACGGAAACAUAGG